GGUAUUAGCUCAGUUGGCAGAGCGUUCGCUUUGCGUGCUUAGCAUGCACGAGGUCGGGGGUUCGAUUCCCCCAUUCUCC
Molecule: transfer RNA, 79 nt
Filed under: Ditylum brightwellii
Lineage: Eukaryota; Bacillariophyta; Thalassiosirophyceae; Lithodesmiales; Lithodesmiaceae
Source: RNAcentral